Molecule: ribosomal RNA, 18 nt
Filed under: Colletotrichum scovillei
Lineage: Eukaryota; Fungi; Ascomycota; Sordariomycetes; Glomerellales; Glomerellaceae
Description: partial 18S ribosomal RNA
Source: RNAcentral
CCUCCGGCCCAUAGCAUC